Molecule: small nuclear RNA, 160 nt
Organism: Cornus florida
Lineage: Eukaryota; Viridiplantae; Streptophyta; Magnoliopsida; Cornales; Cornaceae
Product: U1 spliceosomal RNA
Exons: 1
Source: RefSeq, a predicted model, not a curated record
AUACUUACCUGGAUGGGGUCAAUGGGUGAUUAAGAAGGCUCAUGGCUUAGGUUGAUGACCUCCAUUGUAUUUUGGAGGGGUGCCCGCCUAAGGUCUACCCAAGUGGUGAAGUCCAUGUCAUAAUUUGUUGUAGUGGGGGCCUGCAUUUGUGCGGCCCAGU